This 582-nucleotide ribosomal RNA is filed under the name Escherichia coli. RNAcentral describes it as "partial 23S ribosomal RNA". It matches the Rfam family "Bacterial large subunit ribosomal RNA", at positions 711 to 1290 of the family's 2925-position model. Lineage: Bacteria; Pseudomonadati; Pseudomonadota; Gammaproteobacteria; Enterobacterales; Enterobacteriaceae. The record is from RNAcentral.
AGACCCGAAACCCGGUGAUCUAGCCAUGGGCAGGUUGAAGGUUGGGUAACACUAACUGGAGGACCGAACCGACUAAUGUUGAAAAAUUAGCGGAUGACUUGUGGCUGGGGGUGAAAGGCCAAUCAAACCGGGAGAUAGCUGGUUCUCCCCGAAAGCUAUUUAGGUAGCGCCUCGUGAAUUCAUCUCCGGGGGUAGAGCACUGUUUCGGCAAGGGGGUCAUCCCGACUUACCAACCCGAUGCAAACUGCGAAUACCGGAGAAUGUUAUCACGGGAGACACACGGCGGGUGCUAACGUCCGUCGUGAAGAGGGAAACAACCCAGACCGCCAGCUAAGGUCCCAAAGUCAUGGUUAAGUGGGAAACGAUGUGGGAAGGCCCAGACAGCCAGGAUGUUGGCUUAGAAGCAGCCAUCAUUUAAAGAAAGCGUAAUAGCUCACUGGUCGAGUCGGCCUGCGCGGAAGAUGUAACGGGGCUAAACAAUGCACCGAAGCUGCGGCAGCGACACUGUGUGUUGUUGGGUAGGGGAGCGUUCUGUAAGCCUGUGAAGGUGUACUGUAAGGUAUGCUGGAGGUAUCAGAAGUG